CCUACGGGAGGCAGCAGUGAGGAAUAUUGGUCAAUGGGCUUACGCCUGAACCAGCCAAGUCGCGUGAGGGAAGACUGCCCUAUGGGUUGUAAACCUCUUUUGUCAGGGAGCAACGCCGGCUACGUGUAGCCGGACUGAGUGUACCUGAAGAAAAAGCAUCGGCUAACUCCGGGCCAGACGCCGCGGUAAUACGGAGGACGCGAGCGUUAUCGGGAUUUAUUGGGUUUAAAGGGUGCGUAGGCGGAAUGCCAAGUCAGCGGUAAAAGCGCGGGGCUCAACCUCGCCCCGCCGUUGAAACUGGCGUUCUAGAGUGGGCGAGAAGUAUGCGGAAUGCGUGGUGUAGCGGUGAAAUGCAUAGAUAUCACGCAGAACUCCGAUUGCGAAGGCAGCAUACCGGCGCCCAACUGACGCUGAAGCACGAAAGCGUGGGUAUCGAACAGGAUUAGAUACCCUGGUAGUC
RNAcentral lists this ribosomal RNA (460 nucleotides) under uncultured bacterium. RNAcentral's name for it is "partial 16S ribosomal RNA". It matches the Rfam family "Bacterial small subunit ribosomal RNA", at positions 338 to 795 of the family's 1533-position model. The record is from RNAcentral.